AGCUGCUGUGUUCCGUCCACCAAUGCAAACACUAAGCUCUUCCAGAAACGCCCUCACAGACACCCCGGAAGUCACGUACCCGCUCUCUAGGUGCCCUGGGGCCCAGGCAGGCUGACAAGCCAGUUAUCCCCCAGAGCUCCUGCUGCCUCGCCUGCUUUCUCUCGGAAACGGGAAGUGUGGCCUCAGCUGAAAGUGAGGUGGGCCUCAUCCAAUCAGUUGAAUUCUUCAAGAGAGAAAAACUGAAGUUCCUUAGAAGGAAAGAGUUCUGCCUUCAGACUGUCUUUGAACUUAAGACUGUAACAUCGACUCCUGCCGGAAUUUCCAGCCUGCUGGCCUGCUCUGCAGAUUCACACUUGCCAGCCUCCACAAUCGUGUGAGCCAAUUCCUUAACUUCUCUUUCUCCGUGUAUCCCUUUGGUGCUGCCUCUCUGGGGAGCCCUGACUAAUAUGCAUGCAGAUGAUACGAUGCCCGGCAUUCUGAAUACAUGCACUAAAUCCACCCCUUUCCCCCAUUUAUAGAUUUGGAUUAACACACUAACUUACUCAUAUCUGCAAGUAUAAAUAAAAAAAGUUGCUGGUGCCAAUUUCAAAGUUUUGCCGUGAGGUAGCUUGAAGGAAUGACAUUUUAAGUAAUUCGCUCAAG
Molecule: small RNA, 642 nt
Filed under: Pongo abelii (Sumatran orangutan)
Lineage: Eukaryota; Metazoa; Chordata; Mammalia; Primates; Hominidae
Description: retained intron
Source: RNAcentral